GAUGAACGCUAGCUACAGGCUUAACACAUGCAAGUCGAGGGGCAGCAUGAUUGAAGCUUGCUUCAAUCGAUGGCCACCGGCGCACGGGUGAGUAACACGUAUCCAACCUGCCGAUAACUCGGGGAUAGCCUUUCGAAAGAAAGAUUAAUACCCGAUAGUAUAGUAUUUCCGCAUGGUUUCACUAUUAAAGAACUUCGGUUAUCGAUGGGGAUGCGUUCCAUUAGAUAGUUGGCGGGGUAACGGCCCACCAAGUCAACGAUGGAUAGGGGUUCUGAGAGGAAGGUCCCCCACAUUGGAACUGAGACACGGUCCAAACUCCUACGGGAGGCAGCAGUGAGGAAUAUUGGUCAAUGGACGAGAGUCUGAACCAGCCAAGUAGCGUGAAGGAUGACUGCCCUAUGGGUUGUAAACUUCUUUUAUACGGGAAUAAAGUGGAGUAUGCAUACUCCUUUGUAUGUACCGUAUGAAUAAGGAUCGGCUAACUCCGUG
RNAcentral lists this ribosomal RNA (489 nucleotides) under uncultured bacterium. RNAcentral's name for it is "partial 16S ribosomal RNA". It matches the Rfam family "Bacterial small subunit ribosomal RNA", at positions 28 to 507 of the family's 1533-position model. The record is from RNAcentral.